RNAcentral lists this ribosomal RNA (305 nucleotides) under uncultured bacterium. Its description in RNAcentral is "bacterial SSU rRNA". It matches the Rfam family "Bacterial small subunit ribosomal RNA", at positions 337 to 659 of the family's 1533-position model. The record is from RNAcentral.
GCCUACGGGACGCAGCAGUGGGGAAUAUUGCACAAUGGGGGAAACCCUGAUGCAGCGACGCCGCGUGAAGGAGGAAGUAUUUCGGUAUGUAAACUUCUAUCAGCAGGGAAGAAAAUGACGGUACCUGACUAAGAAGCCCCGGCUAACUACGUGCCAGCAGCCGCGGUAAUACGUAGGGGGCAAGCGUUAUCCGGAUUUACUGGGUGUAAAGGGAGCGUAGGCGGUUUAGCAAGUCAGAAGUGAAAGCCCGGGGCUCAACCGCGGGACUGCUUUGGAAACUGUUAAGCUGGAGUGCAGGAGAGGUA